UUUUAGUGGAAUUUAGCUGGAUGGGGUCACCUGCCAAAUGCUCUAAAUCUGAGGCUUAUUGUUAAGAGUCAGAUUAGAAAGUGUGGGGAAAGCAUUAAUGAUAUAUUGGCACCAAACUGAGCCUUUAAAAUUGAAAGAGAUUGAAAAAGGAAUCCUUUCUCAUUAUGUGAUUUAAUGUCAUUUAAUACUCAUGUACUACCUAAAAUCAUACUACCAUGGUACAGGUUCCCACCCUUUGGGAAAUACUGGAUUAAGGCAUUGUUGAAAUGCACACAUUAUUCCAGUCUUAGACCUGGCACUGUGUGACCUUGAGAAAGUCCCUGCUCCUCUCUAGACAUUUUGUUGAGUGACAAGCAGAUCAGAUGAUUGACAUAUAAGAAUACAUGGUUCACAGAUAUCUUUGUAUGCUAGGUUCAGGGAAUACAGAAGUGAACAAGAGGCAUAUAUCCCUGCUAUCAUGUAGUUUACAUUCUUGUGGGGAAAAGAGACAAACAGCAAGUAAACCAGUAAACAGGUAAAAUAAAUUCAGAUAAUGAUAAACACUGUAAAGGAAUUAAAGCGUGGUAAUGAGAGUGAAGGAAAGAGUGGUCUCAGAAGCCCUCCCUAAGGAAGCAGCACUUAAAUACUGAAAACUUCAGUAACCUCAAGCAGCAAUGCCUAAUAGAAAUAAACUGUAGACCACGUAUGUGAAUUUAAAUUUCCUAGUAGCUACACUGAAAAAAAGGAAAAAGAAGCACGUGUCAUUAAGUUUAACAUUUUAUUUAACCCAGUGUAUCCAAAAUAUUAUCACUUUAAUAUGUGACCAAUAUAAAAAGUUAGAUAUUUUACAUUAUUUUUCUAUGUGUGCUAAGUCUGAAACCCGGUGGUGUAUCUUUACGCUUACAGUACAUCUCAAUUCCGAUGGUAACUUUUAAUAAAGUCAGCUGUAGUCCUAACAAGAACAAUUUUUUAAAGAAAAAAAUUUUACGCUGCUUCUAUUUUUAAAUGUAAAUUAAUAUUAAAAUUAAAUAAAAUUUGAAACUUCUGUUCUUCAGUUGCACUAGAUACAUUUCAAGUACCUGUACUGAAGGGCACAACAAAGAAUGGUUUCAGGAAAGUGGGUAGCCAGUUCAAAAGCCCUGCAGCAGGAACUCUGCGCUUGAGAGCAAGGAAGGAAGGCGAAUGGAACAGUGUGGUAAAACAGCUCGGAGAGGUGGGUGGGGCCACACCAGAGGGCCUCGAGGGCCUAAGUGACAUUUAUGGUUUAUUCUAAGUUCAAAGAAAACCUACUGAGGGCUUUAAGCCAGAGUGGAUACCAUCACAGGUCUUCGGAGAGGUCCGUUUGGUGCAAUGGAGGAUGGACUGUAAGUGGGCCAGAGCAGCAGACUAAGGAUAGUGGCCUGGCUCAGGGUAGCAAGGUGGUGAAGUGAGUGGAUCCGGAUUUAAUGGGAAGGCAGAACGGACAGAGAUUGGGGAUACACUGGAAGGAGGAACACCCAGAACUGAGUGGGACCCCCAGGGAGAAAAGUGGGCCAGGCGCAGCCAGAAAAAGGCUUCGAUGAAGAAUGUUGCUCGGCCUCGGCGGCCCCGGCCUCCUCCAUCCGCCCCCUGCGUGGCCACUCGUGACAGCUGCAAGCCGCCGGCGCCCGCCUGCUGCGACCCGUGCGCCUCCUGCCAGUGCCGC
Acinonyx jubatus (cheetah) is the source of this 1663-nucleotide RNA transcript. It is a transcript of the gene named agouti signaling protein, with no coding region annotated. The transcript has 2 exons. Lineage: Eukaryota; Metazoa; Chordata; Mammalia; Carnivora; Felidae. The record is from RefSeq and is a predicted model, not a curated record.